Mustela erminea (ermine) is the source of this 118-nucleotide long non-coding RNA. RefSeq lists it as uncharacterized. The record is from RefSeq and is a predicted model, not a curated record. The transcript has 3 exons. NCBI's taxonomy places the organism in Eukaryota, Metazoa, Chordata, Mammalia, Carnivora, Mustelidae.
UAAAAUUUUUAACCCCUUAUUAAGUUCUUCCUUUGUGGCAAGUAUAAACUCCAUAAGAAUGGGACUUGUUUUGUCUGCCAGUAUAUUGCCAUUCCUAACAUGUUAUACACCAUAAGAA